Molecule: long non-coding RNA, 249 nt
Filed under: Vigna radiata
Lineage: Eukaryota; Viridiplantae; Streptophyta; Magnoliopsida; Fabales; Fabaceae
Description: long non-coding RNA (VRAD_LNC009686)
Source: RNAcentral
CAAUUUUAAGCCUUGCUUGGUAAUCUGUUUAAUUUUGGCACUAGUUUUUUUUUUUUUUCGAGUUAGAAAGAUUAACUUUGUGUAUAAUAUGGUGAACCAAUCACACAUCUUGAUUGGAAGGAAAGUUUUAUUUAAUCGUUCGUAGAAUUGAGGCUUGACAUUUACCCUGAUAAUCUGGGUUGUAAAGGUCUGCAAGGAGGUCGCUCUAGGUCAUCGAGUUGGAGCUACAACUCUAAUUCUGAUUAGAAA